GGUCUGUAUACUAUUGUGCAGGUUCUGACAUAUGCUGUAGGUAACUCCAUCAAAAAGACAGAUGAUAGCUUUAAGGCGGUUCAAGUGCAGGGAACAGCGAUUGUUGAUUGAUUGAACCGUGAUAAAUUAUGGUAGUUAAAACUGAAGUCAUGUUAUUGUG
Molecule: long non-coding RNA, 160 nt
Organism: Gadus morhua (Atlantic cod)
Lineage: Eukaryota; Metazoa; Chordata; Actinopteri; Gadiformes; Gadidae
Exons: 2
Source: RefSeq, a predicted model, not a curated record